UAGGGAAUUUUCCACAAUGGGCGAAAGCCUGAUGGAGCAACGCCGCGUGUGUGAUGAAGGGUUUCGGCUCGUAAAACACUGUUGUAAGAGAAGAAUGACAUUGAGAGUAACUGUUCAAUGUGUGACGGUAUCUUACCAGAAAGGAACGGCUAAAUACGUGC
This 161-nucleotide ribosomal RNA is filed under the name uncultured bacterium. RNAcentral's name for it is "partial 16S rRNA". It matches the Rfam family "Bacterial small subunit ribosomal RNA", at positions 355 to 508 of the family's 1533-position model. The record is from RNAcentral.